Myotis brandtii (Brandt's bat) is the source of this 45-nucleotide non-coding RNA. NCBI's taxonomy places the organism in Eukaryota, Metazoa, Chordata, Mammalia, Chiroptera, Vespertilionidae. The record is from Rfam.
CCAAAGGCUCUUUUCAGAGCCACAAAAAGAAAAAAAAAGAAAAAA